UACGUAGGGUGCGAGCGUUAAUCGGAUUUACUGAGCGUAAAGCGUGCGCAGGCGGCCCGUUAAGACAGGUGUGAAAUCCCUGGGCUCAACCUAGGAAUUGCGCUUGUGACUGGCGGGCUCGAGUACGGUAGAGGGGGGUGGAAUUCCUGGUGUAGCAGUGAAAUGCGUAGAGAUCAGGAGGAACACCGAUGGCGAAGGCAGCCCCCUGGGCCUGUACUGACGCUCAUGCACGAAAGCGUGGGGAGCAAACAGG
RNAcentral lists this ribosomal RNA (253 nucleotides) under uncultured microorganism. RNAcentral's name for it is "partial 16S ribosomal RNA". It matches the Rfam family "Bacterial small subunit ribosomal RNA", at positions 524 to 776 of the family's 1533-position model. The record is from RNAcentral.